Molecule: ribosomal RNA, 460 nt
Filed under: uncultured bacterium
Lineage: Bacteria
Description: partial 16S ribosomal RNA
Rfam family: Bacterial small subunit ribosomal RNA
Source: RNAcentral
CCUACGGGUGGCAGCAGUGAGGAAUAUUGGUCAAUGGACGAGAGUCUGAACCAGCCAAGUAGCGUGAAGGAUGACUGCCCUAUGGGUUGUAAACUUCUUUUAUAUGGGAAUAAAACGUUCCACGUGUGGGAUUUUGUAUGUACCAUAUGAAUAAGGAUCGGCUAACUCCGUUCCAGCAGCCGCGGUAAUACGGAGGAUCCGAGCGUUAUCCGGAUUUAUUGGGUUUAAAGGGAGCGUAGGUGGAUUGUUAAGUCAGUUGUGAAAGUUUGCGGCUCAACCGUAAAAUUGCAGUUGAAACUGGCAGUCUUGAGUACAGUAGAGGUGGACGGAAUUCGUGGUGUAGCGGUGAAAUGCUUAGAUAUCACGAAGAACUCCGAUUGCGAAGGCAGUUCACUGGACUGCAACUGACACUGAGGCUCGAAAGUGUGGGUAUCAAACAGGAUUAGAUACCCGAGUAGUC